UUAAGUUCAGCGGGUAUUCCUACCUGAUCCGAGGUCAACCUGAAAAAAUAAUCUCCCCGUGAAGGGAGGUCGACCGGGGCCCCGUCUACCCUUGAUCCAGUACGUGUUCGGUGAGGAACUCAGUGUACCGGGGGUCUCACGAAGCCGCCGUCAUUGUCUUUGGGAGGGGUGACGUUGCCGACACCAAACCGUCCAACACC
Molecule: unclassified non-coding RNA, 200 nt
Filed under: Exophiala sp.
Lineage: Eukaryota; Fungi; Ascomycota; Eurotiomycetes; Chaetothyriales; Herpotrichiellaceae
Description: partial internal transcribed spacer 2
Source: RNAcentral